Molecule: signal recognition particle RNA, 269 nt
Filed under: Mandrillus leucophaeus (drill)
Lineage: Eukaryota; Metazoa; Chordata; Mammalia; Primates; Cercopithecidae
Description: Metazoan signal recognition particle RNA (ENSMLEG00000007754.1)
Rfam family: Metazoan signal recognition particle RNA
About the family: The signal recognition particle (SRP) is a universally conserved ribonucleoprotein. It is involved in the co-translational targeting of proteins to membranes. The eukaryotic SRP consists of a 300-nucleotide 7S RNA and six proteins: SRPs 72, 68, 54, 19, 14, and 9.
Source: RNAcentral
GCUGGACAUCGUGGCGGGUGCCUGUAAUCCCAGCUACUUGGAGGCUGAGGCAGGAGAAUCGCUUGAACCCAGGAGGUGGAGGUUGCAGUGAGCCGAGAUUGCACCAUUGCACUCCAGCUUGGGCGACAAGAGUGAAACUCUGUCUCAAAAAAAAAAGAAAAAAUUUUUUUUAGAGACAGGAUCUUACUCUUGUCGCCCAGGCAGGAGUGCAAUGGUGUGAUCACAACUCACUGUAGCCUUGACCUGGGUCAAGUGAUCCUCCCACCUUA